AGGAUUUUAGUCCAACCUAAAGCAACCCCAAACCCAAUUAAUUGGCCCCCCCCACCUUUAGAGUAACUCAAACGAGGUACAGCCCAUUUGACACAGGAUACAACCUUCACUAACGGGUAAAAUCUUAACUAACAUCUUUAAGUAGGCCUAAUAGCAGCCAUCUUUCAAAAAGCGUCAAAGCUUAACCGUGUUACCUUAAUUUGAAUAUUCACACUGACCCCUUUAACUGUAUUGAGAGCUUCUAUAAUCUUAUAGAACCCCUAAUGCUAAAACUAGUAACAAGAGAAAACCCUCUCCUAAAUGCAAGCAUAAGCCAACAAGAACCCAUCACUGGCAACUAACGACCCCAGAGUAGCAACCCCCACUAGAAAACCCUACCUUCCCCCCCCCGUUAACCUAACACCAGAGCAUUUCAAGAAAGAUUAAAAGAAAGAAAAGGAACUCGGCAAAUUUCAACCCCGCCUGUUUACCAAAAACAUCGCCUCUCGACCCCAUGAGAGGUCUAGCCUGCCCAGUGACUCUGUUCAACGGCCGCGGUAUUCUAACCGUGCAAAGGUAGCGUAAUCACUUGUCUUCUAAAUGGAGACCAGUAUGAAGGGCACCACGAGGAUUAAGCUGUCUCCUCUCUCUAAUCAGUGAACUUAAUCUCCCCGUGAAGAAGCGGGGAUCUAAAUAUAAGACGAGAAG
RNAcentral lists this ribosomal RNA (687 nucleotides) under Pristimantis nanus (dwarf rain frog). Its description in RNAcentral is "Pristimantis sp. n DZ-2021 partial large subunit ribosomal RNA". It matches the Rfam family "Bacterial large subunit ribosomal RNA", at positions 924 to 2087 of the family's 2925-position model. The record is from RNAcentral. Lineage: Eukaryota; Metazoa; Chordata; Amphibia; Anura; Strabomantidae.